AAAAAUCCAAAAAAAAAAAAAAAUCAAGAUAUAAAUUGUGCAGUGUGUAAUUGAUAAAGCAAAAAAUGCAUAUUACUACCAAGACACAGAGCUUUAUCAUACUGCUAAAAGAUGAAACUUACAAACACAAGUGGUCCAAGAACAUACAAGCAUGAUUAGGCAAGCAACUAAUAGUCUUCAGAAGAAAAAGAACCUCAUAUAAAAGACCAACAAUCACCUAGAUAUGAAGAGAAGUCCCAAUUCCCUUGGUUCUCAUCUCCCCAAAUUCAUCUAGUAGUUUUGAAAAUGAAAAAUUAUCUUGGAAAGGAGAUUCUCAAUUCAUAAUCUACUCAUAAAUAAUAGCAGGCAAGAAUUUCGAUAAGCAGCCUUGCAAUUGCAGCAAUUUUCAAUCUAAGACCAUCAUAAACAUAACCAUUGUCCUUCUAAAUCAAAGUAAUUCUGGGAAAACCAGCCAUACAUUGUAUCAAAAAUCCAAUUGCAGCAAUUUGUAACCAAGUAAUUAAAUGCAUGGGGCAGUCCAGAUUCAAUUGCCUUAGUAGCAUCACUUCGUAAAAGAAACUAAGUAAUGUGGGGCAGGAAGUUUUUGCAUGUGUGCACAUGCACACGCAUGUUUGUGUGUGUGAGAAAGUGCACAAGAGAGAGAACCUCGUAACAUCGGCGAAUAUGAAG
RNAcentral lists this unclassified non-coding RNA (669 nucleotides) under Hevea brasiliensis (rubber tree). The record is from RNAcentral. Lineage: Eukaryota; Viridiplantae; Streptophyta; Magnoliopsida; Malpighiales; Euphorbiaceae.